CGCUAUUAUGAAUCAUCAGCUGUCGUCAGAUUUUUAAGGAAAAACAAACCAGCAUUCGAAACGUAGUUGAGGAAAAUUCGUGUAAAUUUCGGUUUUAAACCAAUUCACUAUGUCGGUGAACACGGCCCAUGCCAACAAUGGCGUGCUCAUCCACGCUGGCGAGUACAUCCUGUUGCACAGCGACAGCGUAUCCAUGGAGUUUUCCGGCCAGGACAGCCCCAUCUUCAAGGGCUCAAAGGGGGGCAGAAUCUACCUGACCUCCCACCGGAUGAUCUUCAACAACAAGAAGUCUUCGGAUGCCAUGCAGUCGUUUAGUGCUCCGUUUGUCGCCCUGUCGGACGUGGAGAUUGAGCAGCCGGUUUUCGGGGCCAACUACAUCAAGGGAAAGGUGCGCGCCCAGCCCAACGGCAACUAUGUGGGAGAGGUCAAGUUCAAGCUCCACUUCAAGGCCGGCGGUGCUAUAGAAUAUGGCCAAGCUCUGUUGCGCUCCGCCAAGACGGCAAUGAACAACUAUCAUCGAGGCGGUCUUGCUGGCGAUGAUCCGCCACCUUACCAGCCGGCUGGAGCUUGGAACGAGGCACCACCACCGGCAUACCAGCCGCCACCAGGUUACUACGGCUGGCUGCCGCAGCAUGACGCCUUCAGUGGCCCGGCUCCGAAUACGGUGUUUAUGAGCGACAAUCCGCCGCCAUAUCCGGGUAUUGCACCACCGGCACCCUACCAACAGCCAGCACAACCACAGCAGCCGCAGGCACCGCCGCCGUCUGAACCUACUUGGUAUGGUUUUUCAGCACCGCCACCACAGCAGCCGCAACAGCCGGGCUAUGGACAGCAGCAGCCAGGUUUCGGGCAGCAACAGCCCGGCUAUGGACAGCAGCAGGGCUGGGCCGGCGGCUAUGUUCAGCCACCGCCCUACGCCGCUUGUGGACCGGCGAAUUGCCCACCGGGUGCUCCGUAUACGCAACCGGCCCAGACCUAUAAUGGACCACCGCCGUACGGUGGCUAUGGUAAUGUGCCCGGCGGAUUCAACACCCCGGGACUUCAGCAGCCGAACGGUUAUCCAGGUGGAGCACCGCCACCUAAUCAGCAGCCUUCGCAGGCUGCAGGUGCCGCUGGAGGAACUGCCGCUGCGGGAGUGAACUUUAUGGGCUUCAGCCUGCCACCAGGAAUUUUAACAUUUUCUGAAGGAGCCUUUCAAAAAAAGAAUGACAAGUAAUCAAAAAGAAAUAUUCAAAAACGUAUCAAGCGGAUAGUAAAGCAUGCACAUAAAACAGAAGCCAUCAAGUAUAAGUAGUAGCAUUAAACAUCAAGAAGUGUUUAAAAAUGAAUAGUGUAGAACCUAAAUGAUCCUAUUGUUAUGAAAAACUAAUCAAGAGAUGUCAAAAACCAUCAAAAACUGUAUAAACUAUCUAAAAUCGCAGCAAGAAACUUUCAGAUAACUUUAUUUGAAUUCUUAUUUGACCAAAUUGUAAGAAUAUAUGUUAAAAUGUAGUUUGUUGAAAAAAUUCCCAUAUACAAGAAGAAUAAACUGGUGUUUAAGUUUUAAUUCCAAAGAAGCAGAGGCGGCAGCAAGUGCAUAU
Molecule: unclassified non-coding RNA, 1580 nt
Organism: Drosophila serrata
Lineage: Eukaryota; Metazoa; Arthropoda; Insecta; Diptera; Drosophilidae
Source: RefSeq, a predicted model, not a curated record